RNAcentral lists this small RNA (316 nucleotides) under Arabidopsis thaliana (thale cress). RNAcentral describes it as "ATSL213200". The record is from RNAcentral. Lineage: Eukaryota; Viridiplantae; Streptophyta; Magnoliopsida; Brassicales; Brassicaceae.
AAUUAUCAAAAACAAUUAUUAAAUACCAAUGACAGCCACUGUAAAUAAGUCUCAACUUGAGGAUUUAUUUAACAAAGUGGCUGCAAAAAUGUAUAUGUAGAUAAUAAAUCACCGAGGGUAAAGAGUAUGUAAGAAGUUUAAUCAUCAAAUUCUUAAUUAGGUUUCGAGAAUCCCAACAUUACCCUCUAUUUAAUUGGUUUAAGACGAACAUUGUUUAGGAAGUGUGUGUAUGAUGCAUUAUUGAAAAUGUUGUUCGGAAAAAAUAUUUUAAUACUAAGAAUAAUUAUUUAUUACAUGAGUGAAUGAUUACAUAAUU